UAAUACGAAGGUGGCGAGCGUUGUUCGGAUUCACUGGGCAUAAAGGGCGCGUAGGCGGUGCCGUAAGCGGCGUGUGAAAACCCACGGCUCAACCGUGGAAUUGCCCGCCGGACUGCGGCGCUAGAGUGCGGGAGGGGGGUGUGGAACUCCAGGUGGAGCGGUGAAAUGCGUAGAUAUCUGGAGGAACACCGGUGGCGAAAGCGACACCCUGGUCCGCAACUGACGCUGAGGCGCGAAAGCGUGGGUAGCAAACAGGAUUAGAUACCCUGGUAGUCCACGCCGUAAACGAUGAGCACUAGGUAGCCGUCGGAACCGACCGGGGGCUGCUGAAGGAAAUCCAUUAAGUGCUCCGCCUGGGGAGUAUGGUCGCAAGGCUG
Molecule: ribosomal RNA, 377 nt
Filed under: uncultured bacterium
Lineage: Bacteria
Description: bacterial SSU rRNA
Rfam family: Bacterial small subunit ribosomal RNA
Source: RNAcentral